UAGAAGAAUCAUCCUUUCGGGAGCAACAAACCUUUUACUUUUCCAAAAUCCUCGCUGCAAAAAUUAAUUCAUCGUUUCAAACCCAACUCUUGCUUUCACUUUUCUUUUCCUGUCACCGCUCUCUUCUAAAUCUUCAAACAAAUCAUAGUCUAAACAUUUCACAAACAAUAAAAGUUAAUCAAUAGAGGAGUAGAAUGCAGCCAAGAUAAAGAAGAAAUCAAUAGAGAAGGAAGUUUACAAACUGUGUGUAAUAUCUAAAAGGAUUUUUUAUUUUUAUUUAAGAGAAUAUAUUGGUAUAACACAAGGUGGGCAUUGAAGGUGUUAUAGACAAUUUUCCCGGCUUUUGAGGAAUCGCCAUUGGCGCAAACAAUGCUUAUGUCUUGUUGUAGAUGCUUUGGCAUUCAACACGUCCCUAUUAGUCUCAUGGUUGGUAAAGUAAGGAAGACUUCAAAUCAUUAUACCAGACCUAUUCUUCAUUUAUAAUUACUGGUGAGCAGUGUUUAUACUACCACAAAAUAUACUUCAGAAGGUGGACAAGAUUUGUAGAGAUUUCUUAUAGAGAUGCUUAAUCAAUAAAAGGAAGAUUGCUUUGAUUUUUUGGGACACAGUGUGUACACCUAACAAGUAUAGGGGUCUGAGCAUUAAGAACAGCAAAGAAUGGAAUAUUACCUUCUGUGGCCAAGCUUAUCUGGCAGAUUGCUAGGUAAAAGGACACUUUAUAGAUCAAAUGGGUGCAUGGCAUAUAUAUGAAAAAUGAGGAUAAAGACUUUUUGGAGCAUCAGGCUCCUGCAGAUUGUAGUUGGUAUUGGAGGAAGAUAAACUCCCUCAAAGAAGACAUCAACCAUUAGUUCUCCAAUGUAGUAUACUCAUUGACUGCGAAUGGAGAAUAUUCAGUCACUAAAAGCUACAAGUCGUUGAUAGGAAGACAGGAAAGAAUGCAAGAGGCGGAGCUAUUUUGGAAGCCUCUUACGAUGCUUAAACACAAAUUCAUAGUUCGGUUGGCCUACCAGAACAGACUACUCACCAAGGGAAGACUCCAAAGGCCGAAUAUCCUAACUGGAGAUGAGAAGUGUAACUUAUGUGUGGAUAACAAGGUGGAGACGCAGCAACACCUAUUUGUCGAAUAUGCAUGGACCAGAGAAGUACAAAAUACUCUGUUCAAAUGGUCAGGAAUUUCAUUCAGACAUCAAACAGUCCAACAUACUCUUUGAUGGCUAAAAAGAAGGAAAUGGAAAAAGUUUCACAAGGAGAUGACAUCUGCAAUUUUGGGAGCAUUGAUCUAUCAUACUUGGAAAGCUAGAAAUUGGAAACAGUUCAAGAAUGUGAUGAUCCAAGCUGUAGAGGUGAUCAACCAAAUACAAAAGGAGGUGAAGAAAAUAAUAGUAUAUUAUAAAAGUAUCAAAAAAGCAUAUAAUUGUAGGAAUUUAAUACAACAAUUAGAAGGACAAUUAGACUGAUAUUAUAAAAUCCUAUAGUGGAUGCUCUAUUUAAAAGAAGGGGACCUAUUGGCAAAUUGCCUUUUUGCUCUCUCCCUUCUGAUACACUUGGCUAUA
Molecule: long non-coding RNA, 1553 nt
Organism: Solanum dulcamara
Lineage: Eukaryota; Viridiplantae; Streptophyta; Magnoliopsida; Solanales; Solanaceae
Exons: 3
Source: RefSeq, a predicted model, not a curated record